UGAGGAAUACAUGGGAAUCUGCCCAGUCGUGGGGGAUAACGUAGGGAAACUUACGCUAAUACCGCAUGCGCCCUUCGGGGGAAAGCCGGGGACCUUCGGGCCUGGCGCGAUUGGAUGAGCCCAUGUCGGAUUAGCUAGUUGGCGGGGUAAUGGCCCACCAAGGCGACGAUCCGUAGCUGGUCUGAGAGGAUGAUCAGCCACACUGGAACUGAGACACGGUCCAGGCUCCUACGGGAGGCAGCAGUAGGGAAUAUUGGACAAUGGGCGCAAGCCUGAUCCAGCCAUGCCGCGUGAGUGAAGAAGGCCCUCGGGUUGUAAAGCUCUUUUGUCCGGAAAGAAAAGCGCCGGGUUAAUACCCUGGUGUCCUGACGGUACCGGAAGAAUAAGCACCGGCUAAACUUCGUG
Molecule: ribosomal RNA, 405 nt
Filed under: uncultured bacterium
Lineage: Bacteria
Description: bacterial SSU rRNA
Rfam family: Bacterial small subunit ribosomal RNA
Source: RNAcentral